This is a long non-coding RNA of Glossina fuscipes, 1015 nucleotides long. RefSeq lists it as uncharacterized. The record is from RefSeq and is a predicted model, not a curated record. NCBI's taxonomy places the organism in Eukaryota, Metazoa, Arthropoda, Insecta, Diptera, Glossinidae. The transcript is spliced from 2 exons.
CACUAUUAAUUAGAAUCAGUUCAAUUUGCAUAAGUACUGAAAAGAAGUCUAGUCUUAAAGUAUAUAGAAAGCUGUAAUGGUUUACAAAGUCUGGCCGUGAAUUGAAAUGCGAAAUACUAGGGUCAAUAUUUAAUUUAUUUAUUAAUACUACUUAUCAUUAUUAACAUUUUUUUUUUUGUUUUGAUUUAAGAUUAACAAGUGAAAUCAUUGUGGUGAGCGGAACCUUCAUUAAAAAUCCUAUACUACUUUGCUUAAUACAAUAUAAUAACAAUAUAACACCUUUUCAAAAUAACACAUUAUCUAUCUGGAAGGUGGUCGAAUAAGUGGUCCACUUUGAAUCACUUCCAAGGGCUGUCAUGCUUGCGCCAAAAUAUUUCGGUUUACUAAAUUUCGUCCAAAUAUCUCGAAAAAUGCGCUGGAAAGAUUGAUUAAAAAAAUACAGGACGGCCGGACGGACAGAGUAAUUUAGAUCGAGUCAGAAAUUGAUGCUUAAUCGAUCGGUAUAAUAAAAGAUCUCGACAUUACAAAUGCAUCCCGUUCGACCGACCCACCAAUCAUUCGAAGCAUUAAUCAAAUUUACAAGAAAUCGUAGAAGAUGGACACAUAAGCAACCAUAACAUUGCUAAGAUAUUAUGGUAUCGAUUGCAAAAAGAUUUUAUACCAUUUUCAUAUGCCUUAAUGCAGUAAGCAGUUCGCCGUUUUGAUCACUGAAAUUGAAAAAAAAAAUCGUGCAUUAUGCGGUCCUAGACCCAUGCCACGUUGUCGUGUUGAUGACCCAACAAAAAUUGAGGAAAUUUGGCGGAAAGAUUUUAAUGCAUUCACAGAAUAGACCUAACUAUCACUUGCUUCGGUCUUUCUUGAAGUCUGCUUAUGAUGUAAAAGGUUCACUUCAAUAGGUAGAAAUCCCUUAGUUGAGCUCUUCCUCCAAGAUUUUUGCAGUGAUCUCAUAAUAGUUUUACCAUAAAAAUGACGGAAGGUUGCCGAUAAUAACAUCUCUUACGUAACUCAAUACAAU